GACAUGGGGAAGCGGCUGCAGGCCGAGCACAGAUGUCUGCACCCGGGGUGACCACAUGUCUGGGGAGACUCACGGUGGACUCCUCCACUGGGCACUUCAGCAUGGAGUGAGGACCUGGGCGCUGGCUGGAAGAGAGGCAGCUGCUGUCUUCUGUAGCUUCUGGAUGGAAGCGUAUAGACCCUGGAGAAAGUAUGCCCAUGCCUGCCUCUCUCCAUUUGGGAUCAUCCCUUGAUAUCCUCUGUGGAGGCCACAUGCUCAGAUGCCUGAGUCUUUUACAUCAAUUGGCAAAGCGUUAGCAUACAAGUAACACACACCUUUGAGAUGUGCCCAACCUUCUCAUGGUUGGUACAUGGCGGUCCUACCUCUCACAGGGAACUGGGGCGGGUAGGCUGCACACCUUAAA
Octodon degus (degu) is the source of this 403-nucleotide long non-coding RNA. RefSeq lists it as uncharacterized. The record is from RefSeq and is a predicted model, not a curated record. Lineage: Eukaryota; Metazoa; Chordata; Mammalia; Rodentia; Octodontidae. The transcript is spliced from 3 exons.